This 408-nucleotide ribosomal RNA is filed under the name uncultured bacterium. RNAcentral describes it as "partial 16S ribosomal RNA". It matches the Rfam family "Bacterial small subunit ribosomal RNA", at positions 28 to 526 of the family's 1533-position model. The record is from RNAcentral.
GACGAACGCUGGCGGCGUGCUUAACACAUGCAAGUCGAACGAAGUGGCGAACGGGUGAGUAACGAGUAAUAAACCUGCCCUUCAGAGGGGGACAACAGUUGGAAACGACUGCUAAUACCGCAUACUGAAGUAGGGGAUUGCGUCUGAUUAGCUAGUUGGAGGGGUAACGACCCACCAAGGCGAUGAGCAGUAGCCUGUCUGGGAGUAUGAACGGCCACAUAGGUACUGAGACACGGCCCAGACUCCUACGGGAGGCAGCAGUGGGGAAUCUUCCGCAAUGGACGAAAGUCUGACGGAGCAACGCCGCGUGAGUGAUGACGGCCUUCGGGUUGUAAAGCUCUGUUAAUCGGGACGAGGUACCGGAAUAGAAAGCCACGGCUAACUACGUGCCAGCAGCCGCGGUAAUUC